Long non-coding RNA from Brassica napus (rape), 708 nucleotides. RefSeq lists it as uncharacterized. Lineage: Eukaryota; Viridiplantae; Streptophyta; Magnoliopsida; Brassicales; Brassicaceae. The transcript has 4 exons. The record is from RefSeq and is a predicted model, not a curated record.
UUCUGAUUCGUAUCAAACUGCUUCGUCCCGUUUUGAUACGAAUCAUUUUUUCCCUUCCUCCUCCAAUCUCGAUUCUUAUCUCGAUCUCCUUCUUAGAAUCAAGAUACCGACGUCCCUCUCCUCUCUCUCUCACCCUGAUUAAACCUUCAUAACCAGCAAUUUUGCAUUAGAUGUUAGUUCUGAUCUUAGUUAUGAUGCGAAGAGAGAAGAGCGUUCCCCGUCACUUCAAACCGAUGUGGUUUCCACCGUUUGAUAAUGAGGAUCCUCCAAUGGACUAUGAUGACAACUUGUUGGACGUGGAUCCUCUCGAGCCGAUUCAGUUGGAGCUAGACAAAGGUCGUGACGGCAUUCGAUGCGUUCUUGGCUUUAAAUGGUCACUGCUUAGAAUGGGAAUGAUGACCCUUGUUGAAUUCAGAUGCUAAAGGAUUUUCUUGAACUCCGUAGAUCAUGUAGGAGGAGGGAACCAGUGAAUCCCUGAUGCUACUGCUAAACAGUUCUUCCUUACUCUCACUUUGGUUUCGACACUACAAUAAAGCUUUAACAUUUUCUUGUCUUGGUCUGUGGUGGUAAAGUAAUAAAGCUUUAACAUGUUGUUGUCUUGGUAUGUGGUGGAAUGAUGUUGCAAACCCAACAUCUUUUGCUUUCUCGGUUGUUUUUUUGUGAAGAACAUUUGGUUUAACAAUGAAUAUAACUGAUGUAUCUUAGUGA